RNAcentral lists this small nucleolar RNA (76 nucleotides) under Calidris pygmaea (Spoon-billed sandpiper). RNAcentral describes it as "Small nucleolar RNA SNORD19 (ENSCPGG00000013944.1)". It matches the Rfam family "Small nucleolar RNA SNORD19". Rfam says of the family: Homo sapiens C/D box snoRNA HBII-108: This snoRNA is the human orthologue of the mouse MBII-108 and is predicted to guide 2'O-ribose methylation of the small 18S rRNA on position G683. snoRNA HBII-108 is encoded in a nucleostemin (NS) gene intron like the HBII-210 The record is from Rfam by way of RNAcentral. Lineage: Eukaryota; Metazoa; Chordata; Aves; Charadriiformes; Scolopacidae.
GAAAAAUGAAGAUACUCUGACUGCUUCCUAUGAUUACAGUGAAGACCUCAGAUCCAACUCUGAUUUCACUCUAGUU